GCAAGUCGAACGGUAACAGAAGGAGCUUGCUCCUUGCUGACGAGUGGCGGACGGGUGAGUAACGCGUAGGAAUCUACCUAUCUGUGGGGGAUACCAGUUGGAAACGACUGUUAAUACCGCAUAAUAAUCUUAGGAUUAAAGGUGGCACUUGUGCUGCCGCGGAUGGAUGAGCCUGCGUUAGAUUAGCUUGUUGGUGGGGUAAAGGCCUACCAAGGCUGCGAUCUAUAGCUGAUUUGAGAGGAUGAUC
RNAcentral lists this ribosomal RNA (247 nucleotides) under uncultured bacterium. RNAcentral's name for it is "partial 16S ribosomal RNA". It matches the Rfam family "Bacterial small subunit ribosomal RNA", at positions 57 to 305 of the family's 1533-position model. The record is from RNAcentral.